This 128-nucleotide unclassified non-coding RNA is filed under the name Burkholderiales bacterium. RNAcentral's name for it is "tmRNA". It matches the Rfam family "transfer-messenger RNA", at positions 236 to 374 of the family's 374-position model. From Rfam's summary of the family: Bacterial tmRNA, also known as 10Sa RNA or SsrA, is named for its dual tRNA and mRNA-like properties. Its role is to liberate the mRNA from a stalled ribosome. Lineage: Bacteria; Pseudomonadati; Pseudomonadota; Betaproteobacteria; Burkholderiales. The record is from RNAcentral.
AGUGACUGGUCGCGUGUCGGCCUGCCGACUGGCUAAGCACGCGAUGAGACAAAAAUAGGUCGGAUACGCACGUAGAACCAUCUGCGGACCAUUCGCGGACGCGGGUUCGAUUCCCGCCGCCUCCACCA